CCCUUAGAUGCUCUGGGCCGCACGCGCGCUACACUGGUCGAUGCAACGAGUUUCUUUCCUUGGCCGACAGGCCUGGGCAAUCUUUGAACAUCGAUCGUGAUCGGGAUAGAUUCUUGUAAUUUUUGAUCUUAAACGAGGAAUUCCUAGUAAACGCAAGUCAUCAGCUUGCAUUGAUUACGUCCCUGCUCUUUGUACACACCGCCCGUCGCACCUACCGAUUGAAUGGUCCGGUGAAAUCUCCGGACUGGCGUGAGUCGGAGCAAUCUGACAAACACCGGAAAGUUGAUUAAACCUUACCAUUUAGAGGAAGGUGAAGUCGUANCA
Molecule: ribosomal RNA, 324 nt
Filed under: uncultured eukaryote
Lineage: Eukaryota
Description: partial 18S ribosomal RNA
Rfam family: Eukaryotic small subunit ribosomal RNA
Source: RNAcentral